CCUACGGGGGGCUGCAGUGAGGAAUAUUGGUCAAUGGACGGAAGUCUGAACCAGCCAUGCCGCGUGCAGGAAGACGGCUCUAUGAGUUGUAAACUUCUUUUGUCAAGGGACAAAAUCAGGCUCGAGAGCCUGACCGAGGGUACUUGAAGAAAAAGCAUCGGCUAACUCCGUGCCAGCAGCCGCGGUAAUACGGAGGAUGCGAGCGUUAUCCGGAUUUAUGGGGUUUAAAGGGUGCGUAGGCGGGCUGUUAAGUCAGCGGUAAAAGCCCGGGGCUCAACCCCGGCGAGCCGUUGAAACUGGCUGUCUUGAGAUGUCGAGAGGUAUGCGGAAUGCGCAGUGUAGCGGUGAAAUGCUUAGAUAUUGCGCAGAACUCCGAUUGCGAAGGCAGCAUACCGGCGGCGAUCUGACGCUGAGGCACGAAAGCGUGGGUAUCGAACAGGAUUAGAUACCCUUGUAGUC
RNAcentral lists this ribosomal RNA (459 nucleotides) under uncultured bacterium. RNAcentral's name for it is "partial 16S ribosomal RNA". It matches the Rfam family "Bacterial small subunit ribosomal RNA", at positions 338 to 795 of the family's 1533-position model. The record is from RNAcentral.